AAUACAUUUAGCUAACCUGUAUCUACCUACUAUUUGUCAGGCUGUGUGCUGUUUUAUUUGUAAUAUAUCAUUUACCCUCUACAAUGAACUCAUGAGAUAAGUAUUAUUCGGUCUUAUUAUUAUCUCCAUUAGAUUGAAAACAACUGGACAAAUAAUCCAGUGAGUUUUAAGCAAUAUAAAUCUAAACAGUAAUUAUGGAUGGAAGGAGUAGUUUGGGGAAAACCCAACAAAGGGAGCCUGAAGUAGAAAAGGAACUGCAACAGGAACCAACAUUUAGAGCAUACUGAAUCUGUUCUGCUUCUAUUGAACUAAAUGGAACAUUCCAAGGAUUCAAUGGAUGGGACCUUUCUUCUCAGUCAUCCCCAUGAUAACAGCAUAAAGUCACAGAGCUCCACGGGAUUAGGAAGCUCACCAUUGAUUAUUCUCGCUGGCCAGGCAAAGCCUGGACUUUAGGAGCCGGCUAUGGAAAAGUGAGCAAAUAUGGAGAUGGAAACUCUGGGAGAAAUCCAGGGGUAAGGAAAUUUUAUUUCUUAUGCCCAUGUGGCCCUGGUGGCUUCCCUUAUCUAUAUGCAGUAUCUGGCUCUCAGUC
This 589-nucleotide long non-coding RNA is filed under the name Vulpes vulpes (red fox). Its description in RNAcentral is "lncRNA (ENSVVUG00000002986.1)". Lineage: Eukaryota; Metazoa; Chordata; Mammalia; Carnivora; Canidae. The record is from RNAcentral.